GACAGAGGUGCCAAGCGUUAGGCGGAAUCACUGGGCUUAAAGCGUGUGUAGGCGGAUUUCUAAGUACCUUGUGAAAUCCCACGGCUCAACCGUGGAACUGCUUGGUAUACUGGUUAUCUUGAGCCACUUAGGGGCGACCGGAACAAAUGGUGGAGCGGUGAAAUGCGUAGAUAUCGAGAGGAACACUAAGGGCGAAGGCAAGACUCUGGACAAGUGCUGACGCUCAUGCACGAAGGCUAGGGUAGCGAACGGG
RNAcentral lists this ribosomal RNA (253 nucleotides) under uncultured bacterium. Its description in RNAcentral is "partial 16S ribosomal RNA". It matches the Rfam family "Bacterial small subunit ribosomal RNA", at positions 524 to 776 of the family's 1533-position model. The record is from RNAcentral.